AAUUAAAAAUAAUUUUAAAUUUUUUAGAAUAAAUUGAAUAUAAAAAUAAAGUUAUAGAAAAUUUAAUUGAGUUUAAGUAUAAGUUAGAAAAAAUUUUAAUAUAAGUAUUAAAUUGUAAAAGAAUUUUAAAAUAAAAAAAAGAAAAUUUUAUUUAUUGUACCUUUUGUAUCAGGGUUUAUUAAAAUUUUAAGUUUGAAUUAAUAAAUCUCGAAUUAAAAAGAGUUAAUUUAAUAUAAUAGUUAAUGUUGAAAAAUUAUUAUAAAUUUUAAAUUAGAAAUGAAAUGUUAAACGAUUUUUAAGAUAUCUAGUUUUUUAAUAGAAAAAUUUAAUUUUUUUUAUAAAUUUAAUUAUUAAUUAUUUAAAAUUAAUAAUUGUUUUGUAAGGAAAGAUUUAUGGGAUUAGCUAUAAAUUUAAGUUAAAUAAAGGAUUUAAAAUUUUAAAAUUUAGAGAUUAAAAUUUUCAAAAUUUUAGAGUUUGUAAUAAUUAAUUAAUUAAUCUAAUUUAAUUUAUAAAGAUUAUUAAUUUUAUAUUAAAAUACAAAUUGGGAAUUUUUUUUAAGUUAAAAUAAUGAUAAUAUUAGUAUAUAAAGAUGUUAAAUUUAUUUAAAUUAUUAAAUUAAUUUAAGGAAUUAGGCAAAAUUUAAAGUUCACUUGUUUAACAAAAACAUGUUUUUUUGAAAUUAAUAAAAAAUUUUCUCUGCCCAAUGAAAAUUUUAAUGGCCGCAGUAUUUUGACUGUGCAAAGGUAGCAUAAUAAAUAGUUUUUUAAUUGAAGACUAGAAUGAAUGAGAGGAUGAAAUUUUAACUGUCUCAUUUUAAUAAUAAAAAUUUAUUUUAAGUUAAAAUUCUUAAAUAAAUUUAAGGGACGAGAAGACCCUAUAGAAUUUUAAAAUUUUAAUUAUUUUAUUUUUAUAGUAUUAAAGUAAAGAUAAUUUAAAAUUUUUUUAUUGGGAUGAUAUUUAAAUUUAAUUAACUUUGAAUUUUUUGAUUCGCUAAUUAAUGAAUUAAAGUGUUUUAUAUUUAAAAUAAGAAUAAAUUACCUUAGGGAUAACAGCGUAAUAAAUCUUUAAAGUUCAAAUUAAUAGAUUUGAUUGCGACCUCGAUGUUGAAUUAAAAUAAAAUUUAGGUGAAGAAGCUUAAAAUUUAAGUCUGUUCGACUUUUAAAAUUUUACAUGAUUUG
This 1178-nucleotide ribosomal RNA is filed under the name Chrysis inflata. RNAcentral describes it as "partial 16S ribosomal RNA". Lineage: Eukaryota; Metazoa; Arthropoda; Insecta; Hymenoptera; Chrysididae. The record is from RNAcentral.